UUCCGGUUGAUCCCGCCGGAUCCGACUGCUAUCCGGGUAAGACUAAGCCAUGCCAGUUGAAUGGAAUCGCAGAUUACAUGGCAUACUGCUCAGUAACAAGUGAUCAACUUACCCUGCAGAGGGGUAUAACCUCGGGAAACUGAGGCUAAUUCCCCAUAGUUGGAGCGGCCUGGAAUGGUGCUCCAUCGAAAGAUACAGCGUUAUGUCGCUGAUUCGCUGCAGGAUAGGAUCGCUCUCGAUUACGGUAGUUGGUGAGGUAAUGGCUCACCAAGCCUAUGAUCGAUAAGGGCCGUGAGAGCGGGAGCCCUGAGAUGGAUACUGAGACAAUGAUCCAGGCCUUACGAGGCGCAGCAGGCGCGAAACCUUUACAAUGCACGCAAGUGCGAUAAGGUUACCCGGAGUGCCGAGAGAAAAACUUUCGGCUGUUAUAGGUGUGUAAACUACCCUAUGAGAAAGGAGAGGGCAAGGCUGGUGCCAGCCGCCGCGGUAAAACCAGCUCUUCAAGUGGUCGGGACUUUUAUUGGGCUUAAAGUGUCCGUAGCCGGUUAGAUAAGUUCCUGGUUAAAUCUGGCAGCUUAACUGUCAGUUCGCUAGGAAUACUAUCUUACUAGAGGGUGGGAGAGGUUUGAGGUACUCCAGGGGUAGCGGUGAAAUGCGAUAAUCCUUGGGGGACCACCAGUGGCGAAGGCGUCAGACUGGAACACGCCUGACGGUGAGGGACGAAAGCCAGGGGAGCGAACGGGAUUAGAUACCCCGGUAGUCCUGGCCGUAAACGAUGCGUGCUAGGUGUUGGUAGGGCUUGGAGCUGUAUCAGUGCCAAAGGGAAACUGUUAAGCGCGCCGCCUGGGAAGUACGCUCGCAAGAGUGAAACUUAAAGGAAUUGGCGGGGGAGCACCACAAGGGGUGAAGCCUGCGGUUCAAUUGGAUUCAACGCCGGA
This 938-nucleotide ribosomal RNA is filed under the name uncultured crenarchaeote. Its description in RNAcentral is "bacterial SSU rRNA". It matches the Rfam family "Archaeal small subunit ribosomal RNA", at positions 1 to 922 of the family's 1478-position model. Lineage: Archaea; Thermoproteati; Thermoproteota. The record is from RNAcentral.